GGUUAAAAAUUCAUCCAUUUGUAUUGUUAAAAACUUGUGUGGUUGAUAGAAUAACCAAAAAGUGAUGUCAUGUGUACCUCGUAUGCCGAAUCAGUUUUUAAUAGUAGAAACGAAUGUAAUUUUUAACA
This is a non-coding RNA of Gossypium hirsutum (cotton), 128 nucleotides long. The record is from Rfam. NCBI's taxonomy places the organism in Eukaryota, Viridiplantae, Streptophyta, Magnoliopsida, Malvales, Malvaceae.